Molecule: long non-coding RNA, 471 nt
Filed under: Androctonus crassicauda
Lineage: Eukaryota; Metazoa; Arthropoda; Arachnida; Scorpiones; Buthidae
Source: RNAcentral
ACUUAAUCUGUUGGUCUAAUGUGUCGUCUCUCGCUGGUAUCUCAUAUACGCCAGGCCUUUGUAGGGGGUUCUUGUUAUCCUUGUCGUUUCUUAAUAUAUUAAAUAACGUAUUCCUUCUGUUAAAGAUUACAUGUGAUUGUGUACACUUUUCAAUUUUGUUUUUAUACUUCAUAGUUACUGGGUUGAUGUCCAAAUUUAGGAAGUUCAUCGGGUCUCUAUCCGUGGUUUUAGGUUUCUUGUUUGUUCUUUUGGUUAUUCUAUUCCACAAGUUUAAAAUUAUAUUUCUAUCAUAUCCGUGGUUUACGGCCUGGUUUACAAUCCCUGUAGUUCUUCUUUUUGACUCCUGUAUGUUGUGCAGUGUGUGUUUAUUCUUUGUAGUAAGGCCCUAAAUGCAGCCAUUUUAUAUGUCCAUGGUUCCUCGGAUGUUGCCGGUAUAAAAAGUGCAAUGCGAACAUUAGAAGAAAGUUUAAA